CCGCCAUUAGCUCAACGAGGCAGAGCAUUGCUUUGUGACAGGAAGUAAGGGCCGGGGUUCGAGGCCCCGAUGGCGGUCCA
This 80-nucleotide transfer RNA is filed under the name Pantoea sp. At-9b. Its description in RNAcentral is "tRNA-His (GTG) (tRNA-His-GTG-2-1)". Lineage: Bacteria; Pseudomonadati; Pseudomonadota; Gammaproteobacteria; Enterobacterales; Erwiniaceae. The record is from RNAcentral.